AGAGUUUGAUUCUGGCUCAGGAUGAACGCUAGCGACAGGCUUAACACAUGCAAGUCGAGGGCAGCAUAAAAGUAGCAAUACUUGGUGGCGACCGGCGCACGGGUGAGUAACGCGUAUGCAACCUACCUAUCAGAGGGGAAUAACCCGGCGAAAGUCGGACUAAUACCGCAUAAAACAGGGGCACCGCAUGGUGAUAUUUGUUAAAGAAAUUCGCUGAUAGAUGGGCAUGCGUUCCAUUAGGUAGUUGGUGAGGUAACGGCUCACCAAGCCGACGAUGGAUAGGGGAACUGAGAGGUUGGUCCCCCACACUGGUACUGAGACACGGACCAGACUCCUACGGGAGGCAGCAGUGAGGAAUAUUGGUCAAUGGGCGGGAGCCUGAACCAGCCAAGUCGCCGUGAAGGAAGAAGGAUCUAUGGUUCGUAAACUUCUUUUGCAGGGGAAUAAAGUGCAGGACGUGUCCUGUUUUGUAUGUACCCUGAGAAUAAGGAUCGGCUAACUCCGUGCCAGCCGCCGC
This 517-nucleotide ribosomal RNA is filed under the name uncultured bacterium. RNAcentral's name for it is "bacterial SSU rRNA". It matches the Rfam family "Bacterial small subunit ribosomal RNA", at positions 8 to 518 of the family's 1533-position model. The record is from RNAcentral.